Molecule: ribosomal RNA, 465 nt
Filed under: uncultured bacterium
Lineage: Bacteria
Description: partial 16S ribosomal RNA
Rfam family: Bacterial small subunit ribosomal RNA
Source: RNAcentral
CCUACGGGAGGCAGCAGUAGGGAAUCUUCCACAAUGGGCGAAAGCCUGAUGGAGCAACGCCGCGUGGGUGAAGAAGGUCUUCGGAUCGUAAAACCCUGUUGUUAGAGAAGAAAGUGCGUGAGAGUAACUGUUCACGUUUCGACGGUAUCUAACCAGAAAGCCACGGCUAACUACGUGCCAGCAGCCGCGGUAAUACGUAGGUGGCAAGCGUUAUCCGGAUUUAUUGGGCGUAGAGGGAACGCAGGCGGUCUUUUAAGUCUGAUGUGAAAGCCUUCGGUUUAACCGGAGUAGUGCAUUGGAAACUGGGAGACGUGAGUGCAGAAGAGGAGAGUGGAACUCCAUGUGUAGCGGUGAAAUGCGUAGAUAUAUGGAAGAACAUCAGUGGCGAAAGCGGCUCUAUGGUCUGUAACUGACGCUGAGGUUCGAAAGCGUGGGUAGCAAACAGGAUUAGAGACCCUAGUAGUC